UCGAGAAUUUUUCACAAUGGGGGAAACCCUGAUGGAGCGACGCCGCGUGGAGGAUGAAGGCCUUCGGGUUGUAAACUCCUGUCAUGCGGGAACAAGCAAGUGAUAGUACCGCAAGAGGAAGAGACGGCUAACUCUGUGCCAGCAGCCGCGGUAAUACAGAGGUCUCAAGCGUUGUUCGGAUUCAUUGGGCGUAAAGGGUGCGCAGGUGGUGGCGCAAGUCUGGUGUGAAAUCUCGGAGCUCAACUCCGAAAUUGCACCGGAUACUGCGUUACUCGAGGACUGUAGAGGAGAUCGGAAUUCACGGUGUAGCAGUGAAAUGCGUAGAUAUCGUGAGGAAGACCAGUUGCGAAGGCGGAUCUCUGGGCAGUUCCUGACACUGAGGCACGAAGGCCAGGGGAGCAAACG
RNAcentral lists this ribosomal RNA (405 nucleotides) under uncultured bacterium. RNAcentral describes it as "bacterial SSU rRNA". It matches the Rfam family "Bacterial small subunit ribosomal RNA", at positions 355 to 774 of the family's 1533-position model. The record is from RNAcentral.